This 1355-nucleotide ribosomal RNA is filed under the name Escherichia coli. Its description in RNAcentral is "bacterial LSU rRNA". It matches the Rfam family "Bacterial large subunit ribosomal RNA", at positions 1 to 1386 of the family's 2925-position model. Lineage: Bacteria; Pseudomonadati; Pseudomonadota; Gammaproteobacteria; Enterobacterales; Enterobacteriaceae. The record is from RNAcentral.
GGGUUGUGAGGUUAAGCGACUAAGCGUACACGGUGGAUGCCCUGGCAGUCAGAGGCGAUGAAGGACGUGCUAAUCUGCGAUAAGCGUCGGUAAGGUGAUAUGAACCGUUAUAACCGGCGAUUUCCGAAUGGGGAAACCCAGUGUGAUUCGUCACACUAUCAUUAACUGAAUCCAUAGGUUAAUGAGGCGAACCGGGGGAACUGAAACAUCUAAGUACCCCGAGGAAAAGAAAUCAACCGAGAUUCCCCCAGUAGCGGCGAGCGAACGGGGAGCAGCCCAGAGCCUGAAUCAGUGUGUGUGUUAGUGGAAGCGUCUGGAAAGGCGUGCGAUACAGGGUGACAGCCCCGUACACAAAAAUGCACAUGCUGUGAGCUCGAUGAGUAGGGCGGGACACGUGGUAUCCUGUCUGAAUAUGGGGGGACCAUCCUCCAAGGCUAAAUACUCCUGACUGACCGAUAGUGAACCAGUACCGUGAGGGAAAGGCGAAAAGAACCCCGGCGAGGGGAGUGAAAAAGAACCUGAAACCGUGUACGUACAAGCAGUGGGAGCACGCUUAGGCGUGUGACUGCGUACCUUUUGUAUAAUGGGUCAGCGACUUAUAUUCUGUAGCAAGGUUAACCGAAUAGGGGAGCCGAAGGGAAACCGAGUCUUAACUGGGCGUUAAGUUGCAGGGUAUAGACCCGAAACCCGGUGAUCUAGCCAUGGGCAGGUUGAAGGUUGGGUAACACUAACUGGAGGACCGAACCGACUAAUGUUGAAAAAUUAGCGGAUGACUUGUGGCUGGGGGUGAAAGGCCAAUCAAACCGGGAGAUAGCUGGUUCUCCCCGAAAGCUAUUUAGGUAGCGCCUCGUGAAUUCAUCUCCGGGGGUAGAGCACUGUUUCGGCAAGGGGGUCAUCCCGACUUACCAACCCGAUGCAAACUGCGAAUACCGGAGAAUGUUAUCACGGGAGACACACGGCGGGUGCUAACGUCCGUCGUGAAGAGGGAAACAACCCAGACCGCCAGCUAAGGUCCCAAAGUCAUGGUUAAGUGGGAAACGAUGUGGGAAGGCCCAGACAGCCAGGAUGUUGGCUUAGAAGCAGCCAUCAUUUAAAGAAAGCGUAAUAGCUCACUGGUCGAGUCGGCCUGCGCGGAAGAUGUAACGGGGCUAAACCAUGCACCGAAGCUGCGGCAGCGACGCUGAUGCGUUGUUGGGUAGGGGAGCGUUCUGUAAGCCUGCGAAGGUGUGCUGUGAGGCAUGCUGGAGGUAUCAGAAGUGCGAAUGCUGACAUAAGUAACGAUAAAGCGGGUGAAAAGCCCGCUCGCCGGAAGACCAAGGGUUCCUGUCCAACGUUAAUCGGGGCAGGGUGAGUCG